RNAcentral lists this ribosomal RNA (461 nucleotides) under uncultured beta proteobacterium. RNAcentral describes it as "bacterial SSU rRNA". It matches the Rfam family "Bacterial small subunit ribosomal RNA", at positions 200 to 642 of the family's 1533-position model. Lineage: Bacteria; Pseudomonadati; Pseudomonadota; Betaproteobacteria. The record is from RNAcentral.
AGGAAAGCAGGGGAUCGCAAGACCUUGCGCUCUUGGAGCGGCCGAUGUCUGAUUAGCUAAUUGGUGAGGUAAAGGCUUACCAAGGCGACGAUCAGUAGCUGGUCUGAGAGGACGACCAGCCACACUGGGACUGAGACACGGCCCAGACUCCUACGGGAGGCAGCAGUGGGGAAUUUUGGACAAUGGGGGAAACCCUGAUCCAGCCAUGCCGCGUGAGUGAAGAAGGCCUUCGGGUUGUAAAGCUCUUUCAGCCGGAACGAAACGGUCACGGCUAAUACCUGUGAUCACUGACGGUACCGGAAGAAGAAGCACCGGCUAACUACGUGCCAGCAGCCGCGGUAAUACGUGGGGUGCAAGCGCUAAUCGGAAUUACUGGGCGUAAAGCGUGCGCAGGCGGUUUUGUAAGUCAGAUGUGAAAUCCCCGGGCUUAACCUGGGAACUGCGUUUGAAACUACAAGGCU